Molecule: long non-coding RNA, 1348 nt
Filed under: Ornithorhynchus anatinus (platypus)
Lineage: Eukaryota; Metazoa; Chordata; Mammalia; Monotremata; Ornithorhynchidae
Description: lncRNA (ENSOANG00000043011.1)
Source: RNAcentral
UCUCAUUACAUUCAGCAGUAAAAUCAAAAAUAUAACUUUACAAAAUUAGAGGGGUUAUCGCUGGAGUAGGGCGAAGGGUUGAGCCUUGGCAUGGCAAGGUGGUGACAAGGUCCCGAUCUCACACGUGAAAUUAAGAUUCUAACACCGGUGGGCCUAGAAGCCAGCCCGACCUUUCCUCCAGCUUGCAUCAGGCCUCAAGAGGGAAGUGGCUCCAUCUUAUUUUCAUCCCCCAUUUUUUCUCUUAAAGAGAGAACUUGAAGAGGGAAGAGAUUCAUUCAUUCAAUAGUAUUUAUUGAGCGCUUACUAUGUGCAGAGCACUGUACUAAGCGCUUGGAAUGGACAAAUCGGUAACAGAUCGAGACAGUCCCUGCCCUUUGACGGGCUUACAGUCUAGCAUCUCCUAGAGAAAAGAUGACAAGGAAAGGAGAAAGAGGGAAGGAAAAAGAAAGAAGUUGUGAGAAAUAAUGAAAGGGAAAGCAUAAAAAUGAAAGACAAAUGAAACGAAGGUAGAAAGAGUGAGAAAAGGAAAGAAGAAAGAGGUAAACAGAGAAAGGAGUGAGAAAUUGAGAAUUCAAGAGUUCAGGAAGAGAAAAAGAGAAUGAAAGAGAGAGUGAAAAAAAAGAAAGCGGGAGAAAGACGGACGCAAGGAAGUCCUUACCGUUCUUAACUUCUCCUGCGGUCUUCUUUGUUGUAGUUGAUUGCGGUUGUGCUUAAUUAACCUCAAACGGUAAAGUCAAAAUCAAACUUCACAAAAGCAGAGGGGUUUUCGUUGGAGUAAGGUAAAGGAUCGUACCUCGGCACGGCCAGGCGGUGGGCCCCGAUCCCCCACGUGAAAUUAUGGAUGCUUUGAAGAUCCUGACGCCGUUGGCUUCUGGGCACCGUGACCUUUCCUCUCGCCCGCGUCGGUCCUCCAGAGGGAAGAAGCCUGGGGACAUAGAGAGAGCGAAAUUAGAUGGUGUAGUUUGCCAAUGGACCUCAGCAAUCCGAGCACUGUGCUGAGCACAAAUAUGUUCCACUGUACUCUCCAAAGUGCUUAGGGCAGCCCUCUGCACAAGGUAAGCGCUCAGUAAAUACCACUGAAGGAUCGGUUGCGGCAAGAUAGAAUCAAUGUGAGCCCUGAGAGGGUCAGAGAACCUUCCUCCAUCAGCUCACCCUGAAUCAGCCCCAGCUCUUAGCACAUAGUCCGCGCUUAGCAAAGACCACCACUGAGCAGAGUCAUCGCCAAGCAGGGAGACGAGAGCAAGUUACACUGGCGGUAACCAUGGAGACGCUAGUCUAAAGCCGGGGAAAUCCCGGGGGCAAAGCCGGCUUUCUAUUACUCCGCCUUGGAUAACCCCCUCGCCUCAUC